RNAcentral lists this long non-coding RNA (932 nucleotides) under Homo sapiens (human). Its description in RNAcentral is "uncharacterized LOC101928392, transcript variant 2 (LOC101928392)". The record is from RNAcentral. Lineage: Eukaryota; Metazoa; Chordata; Mammalia; Primates; Hominidae.
GCACUAUCCAAUAUGAUAGUCACUAGGCACAUGGGCUGUUGAACAAUAGAAAUAUGGCUAAUGUAAUUGAGAAACUGAAAAUGUAAUUUACAUGUACAUUUAAGAUGAAAUAGCCAGACAUGGCUACUAUUAUAAUGGACAACACAUUUUUACAAAUUAUGAGUUGACUUUAUUAUACCAGCCUCUAUCUCAUACUUCCUUAUUAUCUUCAAAACACAAUCGAUCAGGAACAAAAACGUAAUCUCAAGCUUCUAGAAAUUUGGCACACUCACCAAAGAACUGAAUACUCCUUUGCAGUCAGACCAUGUGUUCCAGACAACAUAACUAGAAAGAUGUGAGAAGGCACUUCAUGUGGGAGAUAAGCCUUGUUUUACUUAAUCCACUGAGAUGUCAGAGUUAAUUGUUACAGCAGCAGCCUGUUGUAUAGGCUGACUAACACAUGGUAACUAACAGAACACUUUGGAUUCUUGACAAAAUAAGAGCAAGAAAGCAGCAGCAGAAGCAGAAAUCAGAGGGGCGAGAAACCAAAAGCAACAGAGCAAGAUGACUGAGAGAAUGUGACAAAGAAGAUAAUGAAACAGGAUGGAUAUCCAUGCACAUCCAUCUUGAAGCAACUUUUCAAAGACAAUGGAAGCCCUAACAUCCCUUUGAUGAAACGAAGCUACACAGAAACACAGCAAGUAACAUAUGACUGGGUACAAAUGGUAAAAUUAAAGGCAAACAUUGUUGAUGAGCUCACUAGAGCUUGAAGUAUGGAAGCACAAUAUUAGCCUUGGAGGAAAAUAACUUCAUUGAAAUAUGUCCUUCCUGCCACACAGCUUUGCUAAGAUUCUGAAAGCAUUCUGUCUCUUUCAGCCUCUGGCUGUCUGUCACUAGGCAUUUUCAAUACAACGAACAGAGAAGAGAGUUUGGGAAUGAAAGUAAAGGAUAAU